This 413-nucleotide long non-coding RNA is filed under the name Homo sapiens (human). Its description in RNAcentral is "HSALNT0305748". The record is from RNAcentral. Lineage: Eukaryota; Metazoa; Chordata; Mammalia; Primates; Hominidae.
GGGGCACAGGCCUGUGGGUGCCCAGGAGCCACCGCCCAUGAGGCCCUUCCUGCAGGCUCCUCCCGGCCUGGCAGCCUCAGUGACUUGGGAGGGGUCAGGCCCAGGGCUGAACAGGCCAGGGCUUACCCACACCCCUGUCACCUGCCGUGUGACCCAGGACCAUGACUCUACCUCUUGGUGCCUGUCUCCUUUCCCUUGGGAGGAUGAAACCGAGGCAUAGAGUGGUGGGCAGAAGACCACUCCAAGAGUGAGCGAUGGUGGGACUGGAACCUCAGGGGCCUCAGACGGCUGUCACCUGCUGCAGCUGCACAGGCACAGAGCCCAGGGGCCAUGGCGAAAAUGGACCUCUCCUUCAGGCCCUCCAGGAACAGGGCCACCAGCUCAGCGAUGGCCACACUGCUGGGUGACACAAA